RNAcentral lists this ribosomal RNA (425 nucleotides) under Aeromonas sp. E142. RNAcentral describes it as "bacterial SSU rRNA". It matches the Rfam family "Bacterial small subunit ribosomal RNA", at positions 354 to 769 of the family's 1533-position model. The record is from RNAcentral. Lineage: Bacteria; Pseudomonadati; Pseudomonadota; Gammaproteobacteria; Aeromonadales; Aeromonadaceae.
GUGGGGAAUAUUGCACAAUGGGGGAAACCCUGUAUGCAGCCAUGCCGCGUGUGUGAAGAAGGCCUUCGGGUUGUAAAGCACUUUCAGCGAGGAGGUAAAGGUUGGCGCCUAAUACGUGUCAACUGUGACGUUACUCGCAGAAGAAGCACCGGCUAACUCCGUGCCAGCAGCCGCGGUAAUACGGAGGGUGCAAGCGUUAAUCGGAAUUACUGGGCGUAAAGCGCACGCAGGCGGUUGGAUAAGUUAGAUGUGAAAGCCCCGGGCUCAACCUGGGAAUUGCAUUUAAAACUGUCCAGCUAGAGUCUUGUAGAGGGGGGUAGAAUUCCAGGUGUAGCGGUGAAAUGCGUAGAGAUCUGGAGGAAUACCGGUGGCGAAGGCGGCCCCCUGGACAAAGACUGACGCUCAGGUGCGAAAGCGUGGGGAGC